AAAAUUGAUACGUCGGAAAGGCAAGAAAAAUGCUGUGAAAGUUGUCAGUUUUAUAAUGGGACCCUAUGGGAAUCGGAAUUAGUGUAAUAUAACCUUUAAAAAGCACAUUUACUGCAAUGUCAAGGUCACAUGGAUUCGUCUGCAAGCGAGACAAGUAGAAAAUGAAUUUUAAUGAAUGUUUUGAUGAUUUGGGUGCUAAAAUAGAUGAGAGAUGUCAAUAUUUUGGUCCAAAUGGAUGUUUUAGGUGGUUUUGGACUGUUCCGGAUGGGUGGGGGACCUGGUAUGGACAAGCCUGACCGUUUGUCCUUGAGCCGUAGUUGGUUAACAAUCCGCUAGCUGUCUUGCUCUGACUGGUGCACUGGACAUGAUUUCAAUAGUCAGCCAGACCAUGAUUGAGCUUAAGGAUUGUGCUGCGGAUGCAGCCUGUGCAGUUCCGGGAGAAAGUCACUGUCUUGGGCAAUGCGGUCUGGUAUCAGGUCUGGAUGAUCCUUGCCUGACUGCGGGUUUGUGUACACCUCAAUCCGACUCUGUGUCCUGAACAGAGGCCGCAGUGGUGCAGCGCUUGUGGACGAUCCAUCAACAUCCUGAAAGGUCAACACUACACCAAGCUGGGAAAACUGAUCCUGAUAGUCAUCCCCAGGCCUGACCGUUUGUCCUUGAGCCGUAGUUGGUUAACAAUCCGCUAGCUGUCUUGCUCUGACUGGUGCACUGGACAUGAUUUCAAUAGUCAGCCAGACCAUGAUUGAGCUUAAGGAUUGUGCUGCGGAUGCAGCCUGUGCAGUUCCGGGAGAAAGUCACUGUCUUGGGCAAUGCGGUCUGGUAUCAGGUCUGGAUGAUCCUUGCCUGACUGCGGGUUUGUGUACACCUCAAUCCGACUCUGUGUCCUGAACAGAGGCCGCAGUGGUGCAGCGCUUGUGGACGAUCCAUCAACAUCCUGAAAGGUCAACACUACACCAAGCUGGGAAAACUGAUCCUGAUAGUCAUCCCCAGGCCUGACCGUUUGUCCUUGAGCCGUAGUUGGUUAACAAUCCGCUAGCUGUCUUGCUCUGACUGGUGCACUGGACAUGAUUUCAAUAGUCAGCCAGACCAUGAUUGAGCUUAAGGAUUGUGCUGCGGAUGCAGCCUGUGCAGUUCCGGGAGAAAGUCACUGUCUUGGGCAAUGCGGUCUGGUAUCAGGUCUGGAUGAUCCUUGCCUGACUGCGGGUUUGUGUACACCUCAAUCCGACUCUGUGUCCUGAACAGAGGCCGCAGUGGUGCAGCGCUUGUGGACGAUCCAUCAACAUCCUGAAAGGUCAACACUACACCAAGCUGGGAAAACUGAUCCUGAUAGUCAUCCCCAGGCCUGACCGUUUGUCCUUGAGCCGUAGUUGGUUAACAAUCCGCUAGCUGUCUUGCUCUGACUGGUGCACUGGACAUGAUUUCAAUAGUCAGCCAGACCAUGAUUGAGCUUAAGGAUUGUGCUGCGGAUGCAGCCUGUGCAGUUCCGGGAGAAAGUCACUGUCUUGGGCAAUGCGGUCUGGUAUCAGGUCUGGAUGAUCCUUGCCUGACUGCGGGUUUGUGUACACCUCAAUCCGACUCUGUGUCCUGAACAGAGGCCGCAGUGGUGCAGCGCUUGUGGACGAUCCAUCAACAUCCUGAAAGGUCAACACUACACCAAGCUGGGAAAACUGAUCCUGAUAGUCAUCCCCAGGUAGUGGAAUGAAUGUACACUGAACUACAGAGGAAUCACACCCAAAUGACUUUCCUGCCACGACAUUAGUGUGGCCACUCGCGUAGGAAUUCCUUAGCAAACGUGCUCUUUUGCAUGGUGACUGUGGGCAUUUUUGCAAA
Dreissena polymorpha is the source of this 1830-nucleotide long non-coding RNA. RefSeq lists it as uncharacterized. Lineage: Eukaryota; Metazoa; Mollusca; Bivalvia; Myida; Dreissenidae. The record is from RefSeq and is a predicted model, not a curated record. The transcript has 13 exons.